AACGAACGCUGGCGGCAUGCCUAACACAUGCAAGUCGAACGAGACCUUCGGGUCUAGUGGCGCACGGGUGCGUAACGCGUGGGAAUCUGCCCUUGGGUUCGGAAUAACAGUUGGAAACGACUGCUAAUACCGGAUGAUGACGUAAGUCCAAAGAUUUAUCGCCCAAGGAUGAGCCCGCGUAGGAUUAGCUAGUUGGUGAGGUAAAGGCUCACCAAGGCGACGAUCCUUAGCUGGUCUGAGAGGAUGAUCAGCCACACUGGGACUGAGACACGGCCCAGACUCCUACGGGAGGCAGCAGUGGGGAAUAUUGGACAAUGGGCGAAAGCCUGGUCCAGCAAUGCCGCGUGAGUGAUGAAGGCCUUAGGGUUGUAAAGCUCUUUUACCCGGGAUGAUAAUGACAGUACCGGGAGAAUAAGCUCCGGCUAACUCCGU
Molecule: ribosomal RNA, 432 nt
Filed under: uncultured bacterium
Lineage: Bacteria
Description: partial 16S ribosomal RNA
Rfam family: Bacterial small subunit ribosomal RNA
Source: RNAcentral